This 465-nucleotide ribosomal RNA is filed under the name Vreelandella stevensii. RNAcentral describes it as "partial 16S ribosomal RNA". It matches the Rfam family "Bacterial small subunit ribosomal RNA", at positions 338 to 795 of the family's 1533-position model. The record is from RNAcentral. Lineage: Bacteria; Pseudomonadati; Pseudomonadota; Gammaproteobacteria; Oceanospirillales; Halomonadaceae.
CCUACGGGAGGCAGCAGUGGGGAAUAUUGGACAAUGGGCGAAAGCCUGAUCCAGCCAUGCCGCGUGUGUGAAGAAGGCCUUCGGGUUGUAAAGCACUUUCAGUGGGGAAGAAAGCCUUGGGACUAAUACCCUCGAGGAAGGACAUCACCCACAGAAGAAGCACCGGCUAACUCCGUGCCAGCAGCCGCGGUAAUACGGAGGGUGCGAGCGUUAAUCGGAAUUACUGGGCGUAAAGCGCGCGUAGGCGGUCUGAUAAGCCGGUUGUGAAAGCCCCGGGCUCAACCUGGGAACGGCAUCCGGAACUGUCAGGCUAGAGUGCAGGAGAGGAAGGUAGAAUUCCCGGUGUAGCGGUGAAAUGCGUAGAGAUCGGGAGGAAUACCAGUGGCGAAGGCGGCCUUCUGGACUGACACUGACGCUGAGGUGCGAAAGCGUGGGUAGCAAACAGGAUUAGAUACCCUGGUAGUC